UGAGCAAUCUGCCCUUCUCAUCGGAAUAAGCGUUGGAAACGACGUCUAAUGCCGAAUACGACCUCCUUUCGCAUGAUCGGAGGUGGAAAGCUCCGGCGGAGAAGGAUGAGCUCGCGGCCUAUCAGCUAGUUGGUGUGGGUAAUGGCCCACCAAGGCGAUGACGGGUAGCCGGCCUGAGAGGGCGACCGGCCACACUGGGACUGAGACACGGCCCAGACUCCGUAGGGAGG
This 230-nucleotide ribosomal RNA is filed under the name uncultured bacterium. RNAcentral describes it as "partial 16S ribosomal RNA". It matches the Rfam family "Bacterial small subunit ribosomal RNA", at positions 118 to 348 of the family's 1533-position model. The record is from RNAcentral.